CGAACGCUGGCGGCGUGCUUAACACAUGCAUGUCGAACGCGAAAGGGACUUCGGUCCUGAGUAAAGUGGCGCACGGGUGAGUAACGCGUAGAUAACCUGUCUUCAUGUCUGGAAUAAUACGCCGAAAGGGGUACUAAUACCGGAUAUUCUUGCUUUUCAUAAGUUAUGCAAGCAAAGGUGGCCUCUGCAUAUGCUACUGCAUGAAGAGGGGUCUGCGUACCAUUAGCUAGUAGGUGGGGUAAUGGCCUACCUAGGCGACGAUGGUUAGCGGGUCUGAGAGGAUGAUCCGCCACACUGGCACUGGAACACGGGCCAGACUCCUACGGGAGGCAGCAGUGAGGAAUAUUGCGCAAUGGGGGAAACCCUGACGCAGCGACGCCGCGUGAGUGAGGAAGGCCUUCGGGUCGUAAAGCUCUGUCAAGAGGAAAGAAGUGUACAAUGGCUAAUACCUGUUGUAUUUGACGGUACCUCUAAAGGAAGCACCGGCUAACUCCGUGCCAGCCGCCGC
Molecule: ribosomal RNA, 508 nt
Filed under: uncultured bacterium
Lineage: Bacteria
Description: bacterial SSU rRNA
Rfam family: Bacterial small subunit ribosomal RNA
Source: RNAcentral